This 379-nucleotide ribosomal RNA is filed under the name Rhipicephalus turanicus. RNAcentral describes it as "partial 12S ribosomal RNA". Lineage: Eukaryota; Metazoa; Arthropoda; Arachnida; Ixodida; Ixodidae. The record is from RNAcentral.
AAACUAGGAUUAGAUACCCUAUUCGGUUGUUCAACCUUUGUUAGGAAAUAAAGAUUAUGAAAGCAAAAAAUUAUUGGCGGUAUUUUAAGCUUUUCAGAGGAAUUUGCUCUUUAAUGGAUAAAACACCUAAAUCUUACUUAAAUUUGUUAAUUCAAUUUGUAUACCACUAUAAAAACAAUUUAUAACUUUAAUUGUUGAUAUUUAUUAAAUUAAAAUAUAUUAAGUCAAGGUGCAGUAAAAAUUUAAGGAUGAAGUGAAUUACAUUACUUUUUAGAGAAAUAAAUUUAAAAUAAUAUUUAGGAUUUGAAAGUAAAAUUAAAAUAUAAUGUUAAUUUGAAUUAAGCUCUAAAAUAUGUACACAUCGCCCGUCGCUCUCAUU